Molecule: long non-coding RNA, 232 nt
Filed under: Homo sapiens (human)
Lineage: Eukaryota; Metazoa; Chordata; Mammalia; Primates; Hominidae
Description: HSALNT0278576
Source: RNAcentral
UCUUCAACAAGGACCUGUUGUCUACCCUGCACCUCCUUGUGGCCCUGGCCAAGCGCUUCCAGCCCGACCUCUCCCUCCCAACCAACGUCCAGGUGGAGGUCAUCACUAUCGAGAGCACCAAAAGUGGUCUGAAGUCAGAGAAGUUGGUGGAACAGCUCACUGAAUACAGGGAUGCAGCCAAGAUGCUGGCCAGGUGGGGCUGCCAUCCUCUGAAGGCUUGGCUGGGGCUGGA